Molecule: ribosomal RNA, 480 nt
Filed under: uncultured bacterium
Lineage: Bacteria
Description: bacterial SSU rRNA
Rfam family: Bacterial small subunit ribosomal RNA
Source: RNAcentral
UGGGGAAUAUUGCACAAUGGGCGCAAGCCUGAUGCAGCAAUGCCGCGUGAGUGAAGACGGCCUUAGGGUUGUAAAACUCUUUCGCUAGGGAAGAUAAUGACGGUACCUAGUAAAGAAGUCCCGGCUAACUCCGUGCCAGCAGCCGCGGUAAUACGGAGGGGACUAGCGUUGUUCGGAAUUACUGGGCGUAAAGCGCACGUAGGCGGACCAGAAAGUUGGGGGUGAAAUCCCGGGGGCUCAACCCCGGAACUGCCUCCAAAACUAUUGGUCUAGAGUUCGAGAGAGGUGAGUGGAAUUCCAAGUGUAGAGGUGAAAUUCGUAGAUAUUUGGAGGAACACCAGUGGCGAAGGCGGCUCACUGGCUCGAUACUGACGCUGAGGUGCGAAAGUGUGGGGAGCAAACAGGAUUAGAUACCCUGGGUAGUCCACACCGUAAAACGAUGAAUGCCAGUCGUCGGGUAGCAUGCUAUUCGGUGACACA